Molecule: ribosomal RNA, 236 nt
Filed under: uncultured bacterium
Lineage: Bacteria
Description: partial 16S ribosomal RNA
Rfam family: Bacterial small subunit ribosomal RNA
Source: RNAcentral
GGCGACACCGCGCGGAACCCGAGAGCCGUUCUCAGUUCGGAUCGGAGUCUGCAACCCGACUCCGUGAAGCUGGAUUCGCUAGUAAUCGCGCAUCAGCCAUGGCGCGGUGAAUACGUUCCCGGGCCUUGUACACACCGCCCGUCAAGCCAUGGGAGCCGGGGGUGCUUGAAGUGCGUCGCCGCAAGGCGCGCCCUAGAGCAAAACCGGUGACUGGGGCUAAGUCGUAACAAGGUACC